CUGAAGCCAUGUGAUAAAGACUCUGCUGGCUUUGCAGAUGGAGGAAGCGUCCACCAGCCAAGCAGGCAGGUGCCUCUAGAAGCUGGAGAUGGCAAGAAAAGGAAUUCUCCCCUGGAGCCUCCAGAAAGGACCAUAGCUCUGCCUUGAUUUGAAGACUAUGAAACCCCUUUUGACCUCUAGAAAGGAAGGGAAAAAUAAGGAGGUGGAGCAGAAGGCAAAAUAAUUGAGUUGAACACAGAAAAAUAAAAUUAAAGAACAAAGAGAUUCAAAAAAGGGGAAGAAUUGAUUAAGCUGGAGGGAAGGCAGCAGAGAUAAGAGGUUGAUUGGGUCUUCAUUUUCAGUUUGCAAAGAGCUUUAUGAUCUGAGCAACUUGACCCCCUAAGGGGAUUCUGAGUAGGUGUUAAUACUCCCAUUUUAGAGGUAAGGAAAUUCAGGCUUUUGGUGUUUAACUAACUUGACCAAAGAACCUUGGACUGGUACAUAGGCAAAGAAACAGGAGGCAGCCAAAGUUCAACAUGCAAACUGCUACGUGCAUCAGGCUUCGAGUGCAACUGGCUUUGAGUAGCCUGAUUGCUCUGGCAAGGACUUUCAGUGCUAUGUUGAAUAGGAGCAGUAAGUCUGAGCACCCUUGCCUUGUUCCUGAUCUUAGAGGAAAAGCUUUCAACUUUUCACCAUUGAGUAUGAUGUCACCUGUGGGCUUAUCACAUGUGGCCUUUAUUAUGCUGAGUGUAAGACGUCGCAUGUGACAGCUUUCAUCUGAUUGGGUAGGCGGCAGCAGGAUCCUAGUGAUGCACGUGGCGAUGCUACUCGCGUGGUAACUUUGUUACUGUUUUUAGUGACUUCCGCUAUCCCUCUGAGAUCGGGAGUGGAAAGGCUUUCAUUUAAUUUUGCAGACGAAGACACAGGUGGAAGCCUGCCAAGAGAUCUGCUGUGGCUAAAUGACGAGUCAAGCUGGAAGAAAACACCCACAAUCCAUAAACUCGGUGAAUUGCUGGACCAUGUUACACUGAAACUGGAGAUCAAGAAAGACUCUUACUAAGGUUGGAUAUAACCACACAUUUAAAAAACUAAUUAUAAAAGUGGUUGAUAACUGAAACAAUACAUAAGGGCAUAAAGUAAAAAGUCAAUUUUCCUCUGUUAGAUCCUGCUGUCUGUUCCUCAAAUCCACUCCCGUCUUUUUCUCCUUAAUGGCAGGGCAUCAUUUUCUUUUGGGUGCUCACCUCUGCAGGGCCUGUGUUCAAGAUAGGGGCCCCUUCCCAGCCCAAAGGGAAGACUCAGGAUUGGGCCAAGCUAAUCACAGCGAUCUCAUUUCCCUUGCAAAGGACUGGGUUAGGCAUGGGCUGGGCCUGAGAAUAAGUCUGCUGGGGGCAGCUCUUCCUUACUAACAUAAACUGAUGCAGAAGCAAAAAGACUUCCCUUAUUUGCUGGACUCUGUCACGUCAACACAGGAUACAUGGAGCCACCUGAAGCCACGGGACAUGCUGAAAAUGACCAAGUGGGAAGACGGGAAGGCCUGGGUCCUAGAUAACGUUUCUAAGUCACUGGACUGACCAAACUAGGAAUCGUCCUUCUUUUGUCCUUCUAUGUCAGGGGAAAAAAAAAAUCUUA
Long non-coding RNA from Diceros bicornis minor, 1608 nucleotides. RefSeq lists it as uncharacterized. The transcript is spliced from 3 exons. Lineage: Eukaryota; Metazoa; Chordata; Mammalia; Perissodactyla; Rhinocerotidae. The record is from RefSeq and is a predicted model, not a curated record.